Bubalus bubalis (water buffalo) is the source of this 1844-nucleotide long non-coding RNA. RefSeq lists it as uncharacterized. The record is from RefSeq and is a predicted model, not a curated record. Lineage: Eukaryota; Metazoa; Chordata; Mammalia; Artiodactyla; Bovidae. The transcript is spliced from 3 exons.
GCCAUUUCAUUCUUUACAAAAUGGUGUUGAACCUUCGUCUCCUGCAUUGGCAGACAGAUUCUUUACCAGCUGAGCCACUGGGGAAGCCCCAAGGAGCUUAUCCUGGUGUAUUCAGAUAGGGCUUAAAUGCAAUCACUGGUAUCCCUUUAAGAGCAAGGUAGAGGGAGUUUUGAGAGACACACAGGGAAGGUGACAUGAAGAUGAAGCAGGGAGAAAUGUGGCCACCAGCUGAGGAACGCUGACAGCCCCCAGAAGCUGAAAAGCAAGGAAUGGACUCCCCACUAGAGACUUGGGAAAGAGGGCAGCCUGCUGACACCUUGACCUCAAACUUUUGGUCUCCAGAACUGUUUUACACUGCCGAUCUGAAAUGAAAUUGCAGCCUUCCAUAAUGAGCAAGUGAGGCUCAGAGGCAGAAUGGAUGGAGCUUCACCAAUACCUGUCACCUGCAGUCACAGACCCUUUGAAACAGGACAAAUGGCAGAGCAUUAUAUUGCUGAGGCAUCUAUAGUAGAAUGUGAGUACCUUUGACCAAGAGCCUAGCUCCUAUGCCUGUCAUCCAUCACUGAGAUCCACCAAGACCAUGCUUUCUGCUGCUCCCUGGGACAAUUCUCAGUGACUACUUGUGUGAGGGACACCAUGGUAGCCCCAUUCCUGAGAGACACAUGGCUCCUCUGACAGUUGACUUCGUGGGAGGACUCCUAGGUGACCUGGACAAAUCUCCGAGACCUAACAGCAAUUAGGUGAUGACAAUCCAAUCUUCCUUUCUUCUUCCUUUUUCACUUGAUGGGAUUUGCAUUAUGGUCUGAGGGCUCUCCCAGCCUUCCCAGUCUUCCUUUCCAUUUUCUCUCAAAAGCAUUUCCCCUAAGAAACUCUUUCCACGUUGGAACUGACCUAGACAUCUUCUCAGAGAACUCAGUCAAAAAUAACAUUCACACUGUUGCAUAUAAUUGAAAUGUAUUGUUUUGACUAUUCAAUUAUGAGUAUAAUAUCCAGUGAUGAGUGUAGAUAAAUACAUUGUCAUAUAUUCAUGACUGCAUGUACCCAUUGUUUCUAGAUUUUACCGUUAUGAAGAAGAUUGCUAUUAACAUCCCUGUAUAUGUUCAAUAAUUUGCCUUGGAUAUUUAUCCAGAAAUGAAAUGAUUGGAUCAUAGAGUAGAUGUGAGACUAACAUUUAAGGUAAUGUUGAAUUACUCUGUAAAGAGUUUGCAUACAUUUACAGUCCUAUCAGCAAACUACAGAAGAUCUUGUGGAUUCAUAUCCUCCAAUACUUAGUACAGUUGGGAUUCUUAAUUUUUGCCAAUUAAAUGUGUAUAAAACAUAUCCCUUUGUGAACUUUAUUAGCAAAUCCCUCAGGCUGAACAUCUUUUUGUUUAUUUCCUCUUCUGUGUACUGCCUAUUUAUGUCUUUGCCAUUUUUUUGCAGAGGGUGGGGAGGGGGAGAAUGUUUAUUCUUUUUCAACUGAAUUGUAGAAAUUCCUUAUAUGCUCCUGAUAUUAAUUAAUGUCUCAUUACAUACAUUGAAAACUUCUCUUCCCAAUCCAUUUCUAGGUUGCCUUUCAUGUUCUUUAAGGUGUCUGUUGAUGAACAGAAGUUCUUAAUUUUAAUAUAAAAUGAUAUUAUUUUAAAAUUGUAUGAUUAGCAUUUUGGUUAAAAAUUUCUCCCUAUCUCAAGAUUAGAAAGAUAUUCACCUAUAUUUUUUCCUACAUUGUGAAUGCCUGAUUAUAAUACUUCAAAUGCUAAGUUACCACCUCCAUGUUACAUGUACACUCACACAGACCUGACAAUAUUUAUAUGAAAGAAUUUUUAAUUUACAAAGAUUAAAUAAAAACCAAGAAUUAUAAACAA